UAGGGAAUUUUCCACAAUGGACGAAAGUCUGAUGGAGCAACGCCGCGUGCAGGAUGAAGGCCUUCGGGUUGUAAACUGCUUUUAUCUGUGAAGAUUAUGACGGUAGCAGAUGAAUAAGGAUCGGCUAACUCCGUGCCAGCAGCCGCGGUCAUACGGAGGAUCCAAGCGUUAUCCGGAAUUACUGGGCGUAAAGAGUUGCGUAGGCGGCAUAGUAAGCAGAGUGUGAAAUCGUGUGGCUCAACCAUACACCCAUGCUCUGAACUGCUAAGCUAGAGAAUGGAAGAGGUCGCUGGAAUUCCUAGUGUAGGGGUAAAAUCCGUAGAUAUUAGGAAGAACACCGAUGGCGUAGGCAGGCGACUGGUCCAUUUCUGACGCUCAGGCACGAAAGCGUGGGUAGCGAUCG
RNAcentral lists this ribosomal RNA (403 nucleotides) under uncultured prokaryote. Its description in RNAcentral is "bacterial SSU rRNA". It matches the Rfam family "Bacterial small subunit ribosomal RNA", at positions 355 to 774 of the family's 1533-position model. The record is from RNAcentral.